UGUUGGGGUGCCUCCAGGACCAGGGUUGGGAACCACUGCACUAGACCAUCCAUUGCUGUCAAAUGACAUGCCUUGCGUCACAGAAAAUGCAUGUUGCAUGCCUGCAGCAUCCAGGAGCUAUCAGUAUGCAUCUCUUGAACUCGUCAUGGUGUGAGGAGAUGCCAGGGUCAAGACCCUGCUGUGUAAAUAUUGGUUAUGGUUCUCUUGUGCCUCCUUUUUUGCCAGUCUUGCUCCUUGUUGUAGACUUUAAUCCAUUGAAGAAGAGGAGCAGGAGGAAGACAUUCUUCCUCCCUACCUUGUCUAAAAAAUGCUGCUAUAGUGCGUAGAAAAUUAUGGGCACUUGUACAAUGCAAUCAGCAAGGGCUUUUCUUUGACAGAAUGCCAGCGAAAGAGGGAGAG
RNAcentral lists this long non-coding RNA (399 nucleotides) under Sinocyclocheilus grahami. RNAcentral describes it as "lncRNA (ENSSGRG00000038182.1)". Lineage: Eukaryota; Metazoa; Chordata; Actinopteri; Cypriniformes; Cyprinidae. The record is from RNAcentral.